AUUGAACGCUGGAGGCGUGCUUAACACAUGCAAGUCGUGCGAGAAAGGGACUUCGGUCCUGAGUAGAGCGGCGCACGGGUGAGUAACGCGUGGGUAAUCUCCCUUAGUGAUCGGGAUAACAGCGGGAAACUGCUGCUAAUACCGGAUAGUCUUCGUGUUUAACUUCACGGGGUAAAGGUGGCCUCUGCAUGCAAGCUACCACAUUAAGAUGAGCCCGCGUCUCAUUAGCUAGUCGGUAGGGUAAUGGCCUACCGAGGCUACGAUGAGUAGCUGGUCUGAGAGGAUGACCAGCCACACUGGGACUGGAACACGGCCCAGACUCCUACGGGAGGCAGCAGUGGGGAAUAUUGCGCAAUGGGCGAAAGCCUGACGCAGCGACGCCUCGUGAGGGAUGAAGGUCUUCGGAUCGUAAACCUCUGUCAAGAGGGAAGAAACCUUUAGGUUCGAACAGGGCCUGAAGCUGACGGUACCUCUAAAGGAAGCACCGGCUAACUCCGUGCCAGCCGCCGCCGUAA
Molecule: ribosomal RNA, 515 nt
Filed under: uncultured bacterium
Lineage: Bacteria
Description: partial 16S ribosomal RNA
Rfam family: Bacterial small subunit ribosomal RNA
Source: RNAcentral